AGGCGAUGAAGGACGUAGUAACUUGCGAUAAGCGUAGAUGAGGCAGUAACAGCCACUUGAGUCUACGAUUUCCGAAUGGGGAAACCCACUGGCAUAAGCCAGUAUCAUUGAGUGAAUACAUAGCUCAAUGAAGCGAACCGGGAGAACUGAAACAUCUAAGUACCCCGAGGAAAAGAAAUCAACCGAGAUUCCGAAAGUAGCGGCGAGCGAAAUUGGAUUAGCCCUUAAGCUUUACAUGUGUUAGACGAACGGUCUGGAAAGUCCGACGAUAC
RNAcentral lists this ribosomal RNA (272 nucleotides) under Vibrio vulnificus. RNAcentral describes it as "partial 23S ribosomal RNA". It matches the Rfam family "Bacterial large subunit ribosomal RNA", at positions 44 to 360 of the family's 2925-position model. The record is from RNAcentral. Lineage: Bacteria; Pseudomonadati; Pseudomonadota; Gammaproteobacteria; Vibrionales; Vibrionaceae.